Molecule: RNA transcript, 2038 nt
Organism: Tarenaya hassleriana
Lineage: Eukaryota; Viridiplantae; Streptophyta; Magnoliopsida; Brassicales; Cleomaceae
Gene name: sulfhydryl oxidase 2
Exons: 12
Source: RefSeq, a predicted model, not a curated record
AUGUCUCUAAUCCACCUGUUUGCCUUCGCUGUUCUGCUCAGCCUCGAAGCUGCGGCGUCGUUUUCCCCGGGAUCGAGGUCGAUUCUUCGGGAUAUCGGCGGAGGAAACGCAGAUCAGAAGGAUUACGCCGUCGAAUUAAAUUUUACCAACUUCGAUUCGGUUCUCCAUGACACCCCUGCGAGAUACGCCGUUGUCGAGUUCUUCGCCCACUGGUGUCCUGCGUGUAGAAACUAUAGGCCUCAAUAUGAAAAAGUCGCAAAAUUAUUCAAUGGAGCAGAGGCAAUACACCCUGGAAUCAUUUUGAUGGCAAGAGUUGAUUGUGCGCUGAAGAUAAACAACAAACUCUGUGACAAGUUCUCUGUGAGUCAUUAUCCAAUGCUGUUUUGGGGACCUCCUGCAAAAUUCGUCUCUGGCAGUCGGGAUUCUAAACAAGAAAAAAGCGAGAUUAGUGUGAUUGAUGACGGGCGCACAGCUGAGCGCCUGCUGAAUUGGAUUAAUAAACAGAUAGGCAGUUCUUAUGGAUUAGAUGACCAGAAAUUCGAAAACGAGCAUCUUCGGUCAAAUAUAUCUGACAGUGAGCAGAUUUCUCAAGCUGUAUAUGACAUCGAGGAAGCGACAGCUGAAGCUUUUGAUAUCAUUUUAGCGCAUAAGACAAUCAAGACAUCUGAAACCGAUGCUUCAUUUAUUAAAUUUCUCCAGCUUCUUGCGGCACAUCAUCCUUCAAGGAGGUGUCGCAAGGGAAGUGCAGAAAUACUCGUGAACUUUGAUGAUUUAUGCCCAUCUGGGGCAUGCUCUUAUGAAAAUAAUCAGGAAACUGGUGCAAAAGAUAGCCUGGGAAACUUCCGUAUAUGUGGGAAGGAUGUUCCACGUGGAUAUUAUAUGUUUUGCCGUGGCAGCAAGAAUGAUACUCGCGGAUUCAGCUGCGGAUUAUGGGUGCUGAUGCAUUCCCUUUCGGUGAGGAUUGAAGAUGGAGAGAGUCAAUUUGCAUUCACAGCUAUAUGUGAUUUCAUUCAUAACUUUUUCAUGUGUGAAGACUGCCGUCGACAUUUUUACGACAUGUGCACGAGCGUCAAAACACCAUUUAAAAAGUCCCGUGAUUUCGUCUUGUGGCUGUGGAGCACCCACAACAAGGUCAACGAGAGACUCAUGAAGGAAGAAGCGUCACUCGAAACAGCUGACCCCAAAUUCCCGAAGCUCGUAUGGCCAACAAAGCAGCUUUGCCCAACGUGUUAUCUCUCAACCGGCCAGAAAAACAUAGACUGGGAUCAUGACGAAGUCUACAAGUUCAUGAAGAGCUACUACGGGCAGUCUCUCAUGUCGCUUUACAAGGAAAAGGGUCUCAUCCGGAGCGAGGUCGAGGUCGAGGCAACAACCACUGCCUCAGAGGAUAUGGCUAUACCCACCAAUGCAGUCGUCGUGCCCAUCGGAGCAGCAUUGGCCAUCGCUCUUGCCAGCUGCGCGUUCGGGGCGCUCGCUUGUUACUGGAGAACGCAGCAGAAGAACCGGAAGUAUUACCACAAUCUGCACUAUCUAAAGAGAUAUAAUAGUAGUAACAAUAAUCAUAAUAACUAUAUGGCUAUGAGCUCUUUCACUUUCGGUAACAAUGAAAGCGGAAGGGAAAAGGAAAGGUAAAAAAAGGAAAAAGCUCACAUGUUUUUAACCUCUCGCCAUCUUUCAGGCCAAGGAGAAGCUGGAACUAGGGCUUUGUUUUUUUGUAUCCUUACAGACAGCAAUACAAAGAGGUUUGAGGGUGAGAUGCCAAGUCGCCAGCUCGCUCUGAGAUCUGAAAACAGUUCCACUCCUGCUCCACGGCCUCUGGCUCUCUCUUGUCUUGUCUCCCUCUUUUCAGACAACUAACUCGUGAAUCGGAUUUUUCCAUCCAUACAUACACACAUGCAUAUAUACAUGCAUACCCACCAUUCAAUAUUUUAAACGGGAUCUGAGUAUUGUUCUGUGUAUAAUAGAGAGAGUAUUAUUAUUAUUAUGAUAUAUACUAUACAGGUGAGUUUUGUAGGGUUAAUAGAUGGUUUACAUUCAA